GAUGAACGCUGGCGGCGUGCCUAAUACAUGCAAGUCGAGCGAACAGACGAGGAGCUUGCUCCUCUGACGUUAGCGGCGGACGGGUGAGUAACACGUGGAUAACCUACCUAUAAUACUGGGAUAACUUCGGGAAACCGGAGCUAAUACCGGAUAAUAUAUUGAACCGCAUGGUUCAAUAGUGAAAGACGGUUUUGCUGUCACUUAUAGAUGGAUCCGCGCCGCAUUAGCUAGUUGGUAAGGUAACGGCUUACCAAGGCAAAGAUGCGUAGCCGAACUGAGAUGGUGAUCGGCCACACUGGAACUGAGACACGGUCCAGACUCCUACGGGCGGCAGCAGUAGGGAAUCUUCCGCAAUGGGCGAAAGCCUGACGGAGCAACGCCGCGUGAGUGAUGAAGGUCUUCGGAUCGUAAAACUCUGUUAUUAGGGAAGAACAAAUGUGUAAGUAACUAUGCACGUCUUGACGGUACCUAAUCAGAAAGCCACGGCUAACUACGUG
This 497-nucleotide ribosomal RNA is filed under the name uncultured bacterium. RNAcentral describes it as "partial 16S ribosomal RNA". It matches the Rfam family "Bacterial small subunit ribosomal RNA", at positions 28 to 507 of the family's 1533-position model. The record is from RNAcentral.